RNAcentral lists this long non-coding RNA (1443 nucleotides) under Aotus nancymaae (Ma's night monkey). RNAcentral's name for it is "lncRNA (ENSANAG00000038673.1)". The record is from RNAcentral. Lineage: Eukaryota; Metazoa; Chordata; Mammalia; Primates; Aotidae.
GGAUUAUAAAAAGGAGAAUCACCAAGUCAGUCAUUGUUACAGAUAAUUCUGCUAAUGUUUAAGUAAAAAUUAUAUAAAACAAUCUGAUUUUAUCUUGUUAACAAUGAUAUCCUGGAGAGUUAAGUUCAUGACUGUGUGCAACUUCUGAAGAAAUUACCAUGUAUUCAAAUGUUAUUGUCUUUGCUCACAGCAUUUCUGCACCUGCUAUCUUAUAAUUGUCAAUAGAGAAUAUUCACAUCUGCAAAGAAUGUAUCUUAUUUCAUUACAAUUAUAAGAUACUUCACUGGAUGUAAUUUUUUUCUCCUUCUGUCAUUCUUCCUGACCCCUUUUAAAAAUUUUUGCUUUGCUCUGUGCCCUUUUUCCAUCAGCCCUCGUGUCAGUUCCCUGGUGGGGUGUGCUGGGGACGUGCAGGGGGCACACUGAGGAGAGAUGCUGGAAGCAAACUGGAGAAUGAAAACUGGAGACCACAGUCAUGGUCCCUCUACAGAAGGUCUGGCCUCCAGUUGGUCUCUUGGCCAAAACACAGGGGAUGUGCUGUUUCUACAUAGGCAAGCUGUAACUUUAACAUAAACAAGCUGAUUUUCCUCUCCUUGCAUUUUCUUUUUGUUUUGUUGUUGUUUCUCCUGGUCAGGAAGAAAUGACUGGUUCUGUUCUUAUGUUGAGGGACCUUGUGAGCUUCUCUAGUAAGGGUUGUCUCUCUUUGAAUCCCAUUAUCAGUGGGCAGAUGGAGUUCCAGACCCUUCUUCAUCGCAACCUUCAGAGCUCUGUCCAGAGCCUGGGAUCUGUCCAGGUGCAUUUGCCUGGUGACCUUGCUGGGCACAGUCCUGCUGGGGUGGAGACACAGAGCCCAUGCUACAUUAGCCAGCUUAGACUCUUCAAGAAGAACCCAUAUCCAGGGGGCCAAGUUCCUGGGCAGGUACAAGCUGUCAGAUGACCUGCCACUUCUAAUGACCAUUUCAAAUUUACAGUAAUUGGGCUUUAAUGACAAAAAGACAGAUUAGGUUGGCACAUUUGCACCUGGAUUUUUUUGCAUGUUUUCACCCUCUCAGUGCCAAGAGGGGCUACUUAGAACAUGUUGUUGACUCUACUCCUCUUAGAAGGUUAGGUUCUCUGGAAAAACCCUGACAAAAUGAGAUGUCACUUGUAUCUGGGUCACUGGGCCCAUUCAGUGUUUCCUUGAGGCUUUCUAAUCCAUUGCCAGAGAACAGAAGGCUCUGGCGGGUUGCAGCAUGUGAUGCAGUGAUUAUGCAAGCACUAUGGCCAAUCAUGUCUUUAGAAUGAUGAAGACAUUGUUCUAAAAUCAAAUGGGGAGUAUACCUGAAUUACACUUAAGAAGGGGCUGCUGAGAAUGUGGCAGCGCAUACCACCCUUCCUCCAUGCUCUCCAGAGAGGCACAGCCAGGCUGAACCUGUGGGAUGGCUCCUGGCUCCCUGGGAGGUCAGA